Molecule: transfer RNA, 72 nt
Filed under: Mus musculus (house mouse)
Lineage: Eukaryota; Metazoa; Chordata; Mammalia; Rodentia; Muridae
Description: tRNA-Asn
Source: RNAcentral
GGAAAGAUGGCUCAGAGGUUAUAGAGCACUGACUAUUCCUCCAGAGGUCCUGAGUUCAAUUCCCAGCAACCA